UUGAGACUAGAGCCUUAAAAUCUGAUUUAGCUCAAAAUGUACUUUUUUAUUUGUGCUAUUGCCCUGAACAGUUUUCAAUAAGAACUCCCCAAAAUCAUUUCCAUUCAGCAGAUUGUUUCAGGACAACAACAAAAUCAACUGGAGCUUGAUCCAUUCAAGUUUUUGUUUAACGUUAAAUUCAUAGCAUUGGUUUACAUCAGAUUCAUGGUCACAACAUUAAUAGUUUGCUUGUUAAUCUGGGAUUGCUGCAGAAGUGAGAUGUGAGAUCUCAUUUUAGUAUAAUAGGAAGGAUGGCAGCUGGGGGAGAGCCCACCACACCCUUCGGGAGUUUUCAUGGCUGAGACACUGCAAAUUUAGCAAGUACAGUGAUUAGCUUAAGUGGAGAAGAAAGGGGUAGAGUCAAAUGGGUGAUCUUAAUACCACCACUUCAGGGAGAAGGUAUUUAAGAAGAAAUGAGCACCAUUUUAUCAGUACCUAUGUUUUCUUCCAUCUCUUUUGCUUUAACAAUAUGCCCCUACUUAGUGGAAGAAAAUCCAAGUGUAAGGAAAGACAUGUUGUAUAUCGGUACCCUUGACUCAACUUUCUUUUCUGUGCCUCCUCCAGCCGCAGUCCUACAACUCAAAGUGCCUCGAUGUUGCUGUUACCCAUCACUUACCAGCCAACAGCUACGAGGCCUGGAUUCUGCCUCGUGGUGAUUGGUCUUCUAAGAAGGAUUUCAGUUUGGUGUUUAGAAAACAGAGACUGCAAUGAGCUGGUCUCUGUUAACCUCGUAGGAAGCUAAGCUAAAUGUGUACUUGAAGAUGAAGGUAAGCCCUGAGAUGUUGCAGGUCACUAAAACAAAGCCUAACAGAAAGAGAUACUGUAUAGUUUCAGAAGGGAUGGCGCAUGACAUUUUACCAAAACAUCCCUGGAUUUGCAGUGUUUGGCAGCACACGAGACCUGGAGAAAUACCGAAAGUCUUUCUUUAGGUAACCAUGGAAAUGUGACAUUAAAGAACAGAAUUAUCUGAUACUGCACGUAUCAAAAGAAAGCAAGAAAUAACUUGAGUUUUGCCUGUGCCUGUGGCCACCUCCAGGAGUUGUCUUCACAUGCCACCUUCCUUUGGGACAGUCUUGCCCAGUUCCGUAUCUCUGCACAGAUCUCACUGAUGUAUCAGAGUUGGCACUCAUCUCAGAGCGGUGGAAAAUUCCUCAGGACUUCUGGAUGUGUCCUAAAGCCAAAGUGACCAGAAAAGAAGAAGCCCAAGGAUGACCGAGGUCAGAUUCCCUCCAUCCCAGUACUGUGGGCCGGAGCUGAACACAAAGGAAUUAAUAGAAGCUACUGAAAUGAAUCCUCUUCUCACCCUGUUUUUAUGCCCCGUGCAUGUGCAAGACUUUCACCGUCAUAAUCAUGGAGAGCAUGAGUGUCCCAGGACCUGCGUUUGUCCCAUGUCCUGAUUCCCUUUGGAGAUACUUUGGGUGCAGUCUCAUUUCAUUCCAGCACAGGGAAGAUGAGGGGAGGGAUUCCAAGAAGAAAAAAACCAUGAAGAUACGGUGGUGAGAGGAGAGGCUGGGACCUCAGGGAUGAGCUGUCUGUCCCAGUCUGUGUGUCCCUGCACUGCCCGGAUGCACACCCUCCAAGAACCCAGUGAGGAAAGUCUCAGGGGGAGGCUGGUGGUGGCUUCUCCUUGCUCGCUUCUCCCCUCUCUCCUGCCCAGCCAUGUGGCUGUGAUCUGCUGUCCCACAUCAGCCCAGAGCAUCCCCCAGGGCCUUGGCCAGCACACAUCAAGUCGCCUCCUUGAAGGGCUAACAUUGCUUAGGGGCCACAGGGUCACACUUUCACGGCCACUGUCGUCCAGUCCACGACCACCCCUGGGGGCCUGACCUGCUCUGAUGCCGGCGCUAACUCGGUGACUGUGACUGCAGGUUUCCAGGCUGGCCUUGCCUUUAGUGUCCUGCCGCAUAUAGGGCCGAGGCCAUCAGCCCUGUUCUCCCCGUGACCAUGCCCAUCCUCAGCUUUCUUUCAGGGCCCACCCUUUUGGAGCCAUGUCAAUCACUCGACUUGCGGUGGCCAAAGCCAUGUUAGCAAGUGGAGAACAGGUAGGGCCUUGAAGGGUGCCGGUGAAUGGAACUCACUCCACUCUCUGUCUCAGGCAUGGAAACACACCUUGGCACCCCUGCUGUCCUGCGGGACAGAGACAGUGUCCCUGGCUGCUCAGUAGAAGCCAGCAUAGACCAGCUAAUAGCCAGGCCUGUCACUCAGGCGAGGCCAGGUGAAGUAACCGCUCGCAGACCCCGGAGGUAAGCAAUCAUUUACUGUCUUAGGCCACCGAGUUCUGGGGUGACUACUGCCUAUCGUCAUGGCAGCAAUACCACUGAUAGGGCUCCCAUCCAUGCCACAAGGAAUCUUCCCAGAGCAGGCUCGGUGGCAGCCGGUGCAGAGGUGGGGGAUGUGCCUGGUCCCUAAGUAAGGACUGCGAGGCACCACGCAGAGCCAAUCUGCGCAUAUGCGCAUGAGGCGGCAGACAUCAGAAGGCAAGGGCUGCCUCUGCAGCCUUACUCAGCGCCCACGAUAAGCAACGCCCAGAGCAGGCCCUUGGCCCCCCGGAAUGAUUCAGAUCCAGGCCCCGCUGCUAGAACUUGUCCCCACAGGCCAGGACCACUGUGGGAGUCCAUGGGCCAAGCAGGUCUCUCCAUUCCCUCUUCCUCCACGUUUCCUGCAGCCUCCCUCCUCCCCCAGAGCUGAGUCACUAGGCUUGUGGCCCAGGACAAAGUGAGACUGGAAAAGACCCUCCAGGCCUGUGUCCCAGGGCUUUCAGCCUCUGGAGAAUUGUCCUGGCAGAAGAAAGUUGCCUGCUGGCCCAAGGCAUAACCUUUUCCCAGGGCAGCGCACAUGCAGUGACUAAUCUGAAAUCUCACUCCCCAUGCCCCAGCUUGGGACACGCUGGAGGCUACCCCAGCUCCAGAGCUCUGAGCCCAUGGCUGAGACAUGUCACAGCCUCUUUCUACUACUGACCCUGCCAGUUCUCUUCUCACCCCUGUGAGAAGUGACCCCCAGGGGACACUGGUCUUGGUCCAUUUUUUUUGCUGCUACCAUAGAAUAUCUGAGGCAGGGUAAUUCCGGAAGAACAGACUUAUCUUAACUCAUGGUUCUGGAGACUGAGAAGCCCAACAACACGGCUCUGGCAUCUGGCAAGGGCCCCUGGUGCUCCAGCUUCUGGAAGAAAACUGGAAGGGUAAGCUGGCACUCAACAACCCGCUGUCAUGGUAACUGACCCAGGCCUGCAAGAGGAUCAUGGCGCCUACACGAUCUAAGACCUUUUUAAAGGUACUGCCACCACCUCUCAACACUGUUCUAUGAUGAAUCAAAUUUCAGUGUGACUUUUGGAGGGGACAAAGCAUGUCCAAAUCAUAGCAACAGCCUAAUUCACCCUACAGUCCAGCCUCCAUCCCAGAGGCAGCUGGCUGUCACCUUCACACACCUGGGGCGAGUACAACCAUCCCUCGGCAUCUGCAGGGGGCUGGUCUCAGGACCCCAGUGGGUAUGAAAACCUGCAGCUGUCUAGUAAAAGGGUGUGCAAUUUGCACAGAACCUGUGUGCGUUCUGUACGCUUCUGAGUCAUCUCCUGCUGACACAGUGUAAAUGCUGCUAGGUAGUUGUUGGGCUGCAUUGCUUAGGGAAUCAUUCAAGGAAAAAAGCCUGUGCAUGUUUGGUAUGGAUUUUUUUUCCUGAAUGAUUUUCAUCUGGACUCAGUUGAGUCCACAGAUAUGGAACCCGCAGACACGGAGGGCCAUUGUAUAUGGCAAUUGUUCUGACACCCUAAUGGGACUGGGGUGAGGCCUGCCACAUAGAAGGAGGCCAGGAGUGAGGGGUGUGAGAGGAAGGAAUCCCAGGGAAAUUCUGAGGACCCCACACAAGGGUGUCGGGCCAACCCUAAAGUAUCAGCUGGGUCUGGAGAAUCUGUUUCCCAGUUUCUCUGCUGGCUUCUGGCAAGGCUCAGGUCCUCACUGAUGGUUGCCUUCUGUCAGUUCUUUACAUGAGAGUCUCUCCUCAAGGCUGGCUGCUCAGAACACGGCCACUAGCUUUUGCCAGAGCUAUAAGAGACAGCGAGAGAAGGUGGGUAUGAUGGCAGUGCCUGGCCUUUUGUAGCCCAUCCAUCUUAGAAAUGAUGUCCUGUCACACUGGCCCUAUUCUACCUCUGAGAAGCUAGGCACUGCAUACUGGGGGUUACUGGGUGCCAUCUGAGAGGCUGUCUGCCACUAGGGCAUCACGGGAGAGGGAACAUGUCACAGCAGGGGCCAAGGAGCUGGAAAGAGUCCUCUCAGUACUGCACAGCCUGUUCCCCUGGCUGGGGCAGACCGGAAGCAGCUGACCCACAUCCUGGUGGAUAAAGGUCCCUGCGUCCUGGGGUCCUUUGGUCUUGGGAUUUCAUCAUCCCACUCUCGCCUUUUGCUCCCUCUGUCCUCUUCUCUCUGCCUGUACUUGCUCCUUGAUUUUCACAUUUUGGUUUUGUAUGAAUAAAAGUUAGCAACUCUUUACAAUAAAGAGCUGGGAAUUUAGCUCAGCGGUGCCUCUGCCUGCCUUGCAAGCUCAAGGUCCUGAGUUUGAUCCCCAGUACUGAAAAACAAAACAAAAUAAAACAAACUCCCUCAAGAGCCAGCUGCACAGAGUGACCCCAGGAGGAAAGGGCCUGUGUGGUUGGAGGGUGCUCACAUCUGGAACCCUACACACACUUGAAUCCCAGCCAAUCCUCUGCCUCUCGAAGUCUUACAGGGCCAAAGCCACCCAGCUGCAACAGGAGCCCAACCCAUGCCCCUCUGUGCCACCUUAUCCUGCAAGGGAAUGAAGACUGAUUUUGUUUGUUGGAGAAGAUGAGGACUUAAGAAUCCAAGGUUGAGGACCGGGGAUGUAGAUCAGUGGCACCUCACCUGUGUGGCAAUAGCAAGAUCCUGAGUUCAAACCCUGCUACUGGAAAAAAAAGCCAGGGUCAAGUUGCCAGGUGUGGGAGCAUUUUGUUCAGUCUGUGAAGACAAGGAGCUGGGCGGAGAUGGACUGGAAAAGGAAGGGACGUAUCCUGACUCUCCUGGUGAGAGAGACUGGACCCCAUAUGGGUGCAGUUCCAGCCCUCUGUCCCUGCACCACAGCAACCCCUGGCCUUGCCUGGGGGUGCCUGCUCCCGCAGGGGCCUCCAGCACAGCUGAUCGCUGGUACAGGCUGGCAGCCAGAUCCAUGGCGAAGCCCACAGGGUAAUGGGCAGGAUGCUGGGGAACAUCCAGCUCCUUGGAGAAGGCCAGAGAACACAUUGAAAUCCACCCUCAAAUUAGGAAUAUGUUUACUUGUCUAAUACAACUUUAUUAUGUUUACUCAGUUAGACCACAGCCUGUGGGCUCACCCUAUGCGCAGAGAUGUUAUAAAAGGAUUGGCCACCGCCGAAGUUUUCCACGAAGACUGACUUGUUACUUGUCAGUUUCCUUUGUCAUCCUCAGCGUUUGCCAGCAAGUAAGCCUCUGCUUGUGGUCACCGGAGGUUUAAGGAUAGCUUGCAAGGACAGAUUUACAUUUGAGAAUAAAGUUCCAGCAGACACUAUUGGAUUACUCAUCCAAUUUCUACCACUCCUUCUGCCACCUCAAGAAAUUGGGUUUUUCAUUACAUUACGGUCACCCAUGCUAUAGCGUGGGUCUUGUACUUCCAGUCAGGUCUGUGUGUUAGAGGUUUGGUGUGCUGCUGGGAGGUGUGGAGCCUAGGGGGAGCCCUUAGGUCUUUAGGGAUUGUGCCCCACGAGGAUGGUAAGAUCCCUCCCCUCGAGCCACUACUUCUUCCUCUGUUGCUUCCUGGCCCUGAGAUGGGCGGUUUUGCUCCUCCCAUGGCUCACAUUGAUGAGGCCAUCCCAUCACAGACUGGAGCCUCGAAAAGGAGCCUUUUCUUUUCCCGGUGAGUUAGCUCAGGAGUCUUGUUACAGCAACACUGACUAACCUCCGUUCUCUCCGGGUAGUGCCUGGGUGCUGUUGGGCAUUGCCUUGAGUAGGUGGGAGCCCAGAAAAGCUGUGUCCGUGUAGCUGUCCUCCGUGGGGUGGGAAUGGCACCAUUUAGGGGACCAGAGGGACCAGACCCGGAGCCAUGGUGAGGUCUGCCCUGCAGCCCCCUCACUUUGGACCUCAGGCUCUUCACCAAGGAACUUCUUCGCUACUUGGAACAUCUGGGGCAGGAUUUCCUAGGCAUCCUGACCUCUUUUCCCCCUCACACUGUGAAAGGCAGCCCAUGUGCAACUGUCCACUUUGUCUGAUUGGGACGGUGCUGGUUGUCCCCUGCCCUUGCCAUGUGAGACUUCACAUGGGGCGACACAUGCUGCUUCUCUCUGCCCAGAAGCAGCUUCCAAGAUCUGAAGCCUCAAUUUCCCUGUCUGCAAAAUGGGCUGUGUCGAAGGGGAGGUACUGGCAAUGUGAGGAGGGCAGUGACAAGGGCACUUGCUGGUUUCUGGUAGAACUGUGUGAGUGGUGUCUGCACAGGGGGCGCUGAAGUGGGCUGCCUUGGUCACUGGGCCGAGGGCCACGUUACAGCGUUCCCACUUUCCCUGAAAGUCAGGGAAGCGCCCAAAAGUGUCCCAGCCGUGCCGUGGGUGGGGGGCACACUGAUCGGCCAGGCAGGGUGGGGUUGCCGCCUGUUGAUAUCAGCAGCCAGGGUCCAGGAUGGUCCUCAGGGUCGCUGCCACCCACUUGUGCCCUUGGACUGUGCCACUUGGCCCUCUGGCCCAAGCAGCCACCUGCUCCCAGCUGCGGGAGGCCCAGCCGCCUGACCUUUCCCUCCUAACGUCAUUUUCCAUUCUGCU
This is a long non-coding RNA of Fukomys damarensis (Damara mole-rat), 6805 nucleotides long. RefSeq lists it as uncharacterized. The transcript has 3 exons. Lineage: Eukaryota; Metazoa; Chordata; Mammalia; Rodentia; Bathyergidae. The record is from RefSeq and is a predicted model, not a curated record.